This 379-nucleotide long non-coding RNA is filed under the name Triticum aestivum (bread wheat). RNAcentral's name for it is "long non-coding RNA (TAES_LNC007174)". Lineage: Eukaryota; Viridiplantae; Streptophyta; Magnoliopsida; Poales; Poaceae. The record is from RNAcentral.
UUUUUUCUAUUUUUUAGUUUUAGGUUUAUGUUUAGUUUAGAUUUAGUUUUAGUUUUAGUUUUAGGUUUAGUUUUAGUUUUAGGUUUAGUUUUAGUUUAGUUUUAAGUUUAGAUUUAGUUUUUUCCUUUUUUUCUUUUUUUUAGUUUUAGGUUUAUGUUUGGUUUAGAUUUAGUUUUAUUUUUAGUUUUAGUUUUAGAUUUAGGUUUAGAUUUAGGUUUAGUUUUAGGUUUAGUUCAGUUUUAGGAAAGAAAAAGAAGAAGAAGAAAAAAACAGGAGAGGAGGAGAAGAAGAAGAGGAAAAAGGAAAGGAAGAAGAAGAAGAGGAGGAGGAGAAGAAAAAAGAAGGAGAGGAAGAAGAAGAAGAAAAAAGAGGAGAGGAG